RNAcentral lists this ribosomal RNA (446 nucleotides) under uncultured bacterium. Its description in RNAcentral is "partial 16S ribosomal RNA". It matches the Rfam family "Bacterial small subunit ribosomal RNA", at positions 338 to 795 of the family's 1533-position model. The record is from RNAcentral.
CCUACGGGUGGCUGCAGUCGAGAAUCAUUCACAAUGGGGGAAACCCUGAUGGUGCGACGCCGCGUGCGGGAAUGAAGGUCUUCGGAUUGUAAACCCCUGUCAUGUGGGAGCAAAUUAAAAAGAUAGUACCACAAGAGGAAGAGACGGCUAACUCUGUGCCAGCAGCCGCGGUAAUACAGAGGUCUCAAGCGUUGUUCGGAAUCACUGGGCGUAAAGCGUGCGUAGGCUGUUUCGUAAGUCGUGUGUGAAAGGCGCGGGCUCAACCCGCGGACGGCACAUGAUACUGCGAGACUAGAGUAAUGGAGGGGGAACCGGAAUUCUCGGUGUAGCAGUGAAAUGCGUAGAUAUCGAGAGGAACACUCGUGGCGAAGGCGGGUUCCUGGACAUUAACUGACGCUGAGGCACGAAGGCCAGGGGAGCGAGAGGGAUUAGAUACCCCUGUAGUC